This 212-nucleotide long non-coding RNA is filed under the name Elaeis guineensis (African oil palm). Its description in RNAcentral is "long non-coding RNA (EGUI_LNC047374)". The record is from RNAcentral. Lineage: Eukaryota; Viridiplantae; Streptophyta; Magnoliopsida; Arecales; Arecaceae.
UUACCCCUAUCUCUCCCAUCUUGUUCAACCACUUAUGGUUGUUUACAACUUACAAGAAUUGAUACUAGUUCUACACUGAUUGACUUAAAUAUAAUUUGAUAUAAUUUUUAUAUUUUAUUUUAAAAUAAAAAAUAUAUAUUUAUUUAAAUUUUAAAUUUUUAAAUAUAAAUAUGUUUGGUAAAGUUAAUUAUUUUAAAAAUACAAACAUGAUG